RNAcentral lists this transfer RNA (72 nucleotides) under Planctomycetota bacterium. RNAcentral describes it as "Planctomycetes bacterium (subsurface metagenome) tRNA-Lys". It matches the Rfam family "tRNA". Rfam says of the family: Transfer RNA (tRNA) molecules are approximately 80 nucleotides in length. Their secondary structure includes four short double-helical elements and three loops (D, anti-codon, and T loops). Further hydrogen bonds mediate the characteristic L-shaped molecular structure. tRNAs have two regions of fundamental functional importance: the anti-codon, which is responsible for specific mRNA codon recognition, and the 3' end, to which the tRNAs corresponding amino acid is attached (by aminoacyl-tRNA synthetases). tRNAs cope with the degeneracy of the genetic code in two manners: having more than one tRNA (with a specific anti-codon) for a particular amino acid; and 'wobble' base-pairing, i.e. permitting non-standard base-pairing at the 3rd anti-codon position. Lineage: Bacteria; Pseudomonadati; Planctomycetota. The record is from RNAcentral.
CGGUCCGUAGCUCAACAGUAGAGCCACCGGCUUUUACCCGGAGGGUUGUGGGUGCAAGUCCUACCGGGCCGA